RNAcentral lists this ribosomal RNA (429 nucleotides) under Corynebacterium sp. RNAcentral describes it as "bacterial SSU rRNA". It matches the Rfam family "Bacterial small subunit ribosomal RNA", at positions 283 to 722 of the family's 1533-position model. Lineage: Bacteria; Bacillati; Actinomycetota; Actinomycetes; Mycobacteriales; Corynebacteriaceae. The record is from RNAcentral.
GUAGCCGGCCUGAGAGGGUGUACGGCCACAUUGGGACUGAGAUACGGCCCAGACUCCUACGGGAGGCAGCAGUGGGGAAUAUUGCACAAUGGGCGCAAGCCUGAUGCAGCGACGCCGCGUGGGGGAUGACGGCCUUCGGGUUGUAAACUCCUUUCGCCAGGGACGAAGCGUUUUGUGACGGUACCUGGAUAAGAAGCACCGGCUAACUACGUGCCAGCAGCCGCGGUAAUACGUAGGGUGCGAGCGUUGUCCGGAAUUACUGGGCGUAAAGAGCUCGUAGGUGGUUUGUCGCGUCGUUUGUGUAAUACCGCAGCUUAACUGCGGGGUUGCAGGCGAUACGGGCAUAACUUGAGUGCUGUAGGGGAGACUGGAAUUCCUGGUGUAGCGGUGGAAUGCGCAGAUAUCAGGAGGAACACCGAUGGCGAAGGC